UGGGGAAUAUUGGACAAUGGGCGAAAGCCUGAUCCAGCCAUGCCGCGUGUGUGAAGAAGGUCUUCGGAUUGUAAAGCACUUUAAGUUGGGAGGAAGGGCAGUAAAUUAAUACUUUGCUGUUUUGACGUUACCGACAGAAUAAGCACCGGCUAACUCUGUGCCAGCAGCCGCGGUAAUACAGAGGGUGCAAGCGUUAAUCGGAAUUACUGGGCGUAAAGCGCGCGUAGGUGGUUCGUUAAGUUGGAUGUGAAAUCCCCGGGCUCAACCUGGGAACUGCAUUCAAAACUGACGAGCUAGAGUAUGGUAGAGGGUGGUGGAAUUUCCUGUGUAGCGG
This 334-nucleotide ribosomal RNA is filed under the name uncultured bacterium. Its description in RNAcentral is "partial 16S ribosomal RNA". It matches the Rfam family "Bacterial small subunit ribosomal RNA", at positions 355 to 681 of the family's 1533-position model. The record is from RNAcentral.